RNAcentral lists this long non-coding RNA (279 nucleotides) under Elaeis guineensis (African oil palm). RNAcentral describes it as "long non-coding RNA (EGUI_LNC047666)". Lineage: Eukaryota; Viridiplantae; Streptophyta; Magnoliopsida; Arecales; Arecaceae. The record is from RNAcentral.
AAUCAUUAAUUAAACCUCUCAUAAAUACUGAGUCCAAAUCCGAUGGGCAAUCGGGCAUCAAAAUUCAUCGAUAUGUAACCCUGAUCGAAAAGUCCCAACCAGUGGGACUCUUGACCCCGAUACCCAUAAUGUGUGGAACUCAUGAUCAGAGAAUCCUGAUUUUCGAUCACUGAGUUUCAAAUAUGUAGGAUUCUACAUCAGCCAUCAGAUCAGAUAAGAACCUCUAAUGUGUGUGACCCCGCAGGUUUGAACCUAAGCCGGUAGCACAGGAACCAAUUC